GUGGGGGAUAUUGCACAAUGGAGGAAACUCUGAUGCAGCGAUGCCGCGUGAGGGAAGAAGGUUUUCGGAUUGUAAACCUCUGUGGAGCGGGACGAUAAUGACGGUACCGCUCAAGGAAGCCACGGCUAACUACGUGCCAGCAGCCGCGGUAAUACGUAGGUGGCGAGCGUUGUCCGGAAUUACUGGGUGUAAAGGGAGUGUAGGCGGGAAUGCAAGUCAGAAGUGAAAACUAUGGGCUUAACCCAUAGCCUGCUUUUGAAACUGUAUUUCUUGAGUGAAGCAGAGGCAAGCGGAAUUCCUAGUGUAGCGGUGAAAUGCGUAGAUAUUAGGAGGAACACCAGUGGCGAAGGCGGCUUGCUGGGCUUUUACUGACGCUGAGGCUCGAAAGCGUGGGGAGCAAACAGGAUUAGAAACCCUAGUAGUCC
This 425-nucleotide ribosomal RNA is filed under the name uncultured bacterium. RNAcentral's name for it is "bacterial SSU rRNA". It matches the Rfam family "Bacterial small subunit ribosomal RNA", at positions 354 to 796 of the family's 1533-position model. The record is from RNAcentral.